Molecule: long non-coding RNA, 1186 nt
Organism: Phyllostomus hastatus (greater spear-nosed bat)
Lineage: Eukaryota; Metazoa; Chordata; Mammalia; Chiroptera; Phyllostomidae
Exons: 3
Source: RefSeq, a predicted model, not a curated record
AGAUCUCGUGCCAGUCAACUGGCUGCUCUUAGGCUCUUCAUUUGUAAAGUAGAACCAUAAACAUGCCUUUAUAGGCCUAUUGCAAAAGUCAUUUUAGCCAGUAUGUACUAUUUUACAGGUCUUAGAAAAGGGAUGGACAAGGUGAGCGAUGACAGCAGGGACAUUGCCUAGAGGUAUUGUCACAGCACUGCACUCCCCAGGUCUUAGAAAAGGAAUGAAUGAGAUAAGCAAUGACAGCAAGAACAGCCGCGAGCAGGAAGGAGCAUUUCAGCACUAUUCUCCUCAACUGACUAGCCACGCUUUUCUCUCCAACACACAGACUGCAGUAUUUUCCUUCAGUGUUUCUCACUGUAUUUACUUACUCUAAGCCAGGCAUUCAUUCCUGUGUUCUUAUUAAUAACUUUAAUAUGUACUAUUGAAAACAUCCAUUGGAACAAUUCCAUAAAAAAUCUUUUCCAACAUCAACAAUAGGUUUAAAAGAUAACCUGCUACUUAUGACAUUUAUUUUUAAAGAGAAUUGUGCUCUUUUGGUUCAUUUGUUUAUUUUAUUUUUGUUUUCAGAAAAGUAAAUCACACAGAAUUUGUGAGAAUAGUAGUAAAUGUUUUAACUAUUUUAUCAUCUUCAGUGUCAUUCAACAGUUGAUUCAUAUGUAACUGGCAUUAUUUUAAGAGCUGUGGUGGAUUCCAGAGAAAGAGGAGUUACCACCACUGCCCUCAAAGUAAGUCUAAGUGGGGAAGUAGAAACUGCAAAGACAGCACUGCUGCGAAGGGCAGUUGUUAGGACAAGAAGUGAUGUCAAGAAAGGACCCAUAGCAGACUGAAAGGAGAAGACCCAGCAAAGCAUGCGGGGUUAACAACGUCAGAGCACAGUUGGGUGAGAGUGAGGGAGGUUGUAUCAGUAAAGAUUGGGGAGGUGGAACAACUUGGAAUAAUAACCAAACUCAGAAUGUAUACAGCGUUACAAAAACAUUUUCCAAACAGCAAACUGAAGUGCCGAGAGUUCACAGAGAUGGAGCCAGGACUGAAGAAGAGACCUCUUAAACGUCUCUCACACCACACACAACGCCUGCAUCCCUCAGCCUUUGGCAUGUGCUGUUCUAAUGACUUUUUUUCAGUGUUCCACAAAAUAACCUUAAAAAUCAAGUUUUUUCAUCCUCUUCCCUGUGUUUUGAAGAGUGACAAAAUG